CCUACGGGAGGCAGCAGUGAGGAAUAUUGGUCAAUGGGCGGGAGCCUGAACCAGCCAAGUCGCGUGAGGGAAGACGGUCCUAUGGAUUGUAAACCUCUUUAGGCGGGGAGCAAUGCGGGGCACGCGUGCCCGGAGGUAGAGUACCCGCAGAAUAAGCAUGGGCUAACGCCGUGCCAGCAGCGGCGGUAAUACGGAGGAUGCGAGCGUUAUCCGGUUUUUUUGGGUUGAAAGGGUUCGUAGGCGGAUUUUAAAGGCGGCGGUAAAAUGUCCGGGCUCAACCCGGGCCGGCCGUUGAAACUGGGGGUCUUGAGUGGGCGAGAGGUAUGCGGAAUGCGUGGUGUAGCGGUGAAAUGCAUAGAUAUCACGCAGAACUCCGAUUGCGAAGGCAGCAUACCGGAGCCCGACUGACGCUGAGGCACGAAAGCGUGGGGAUCGAACAGGAUUAGAUACCCCUGUAGUC
This 460-nucleotide ribosomal RNA is filed under the name uncultured bacterium. RNAcentral describes it as "partial 16S ribosomal RNA". It matches the Rfam family "Bacterial small subunit ribosomal RNA", at positions 338 to 795 of the family's 1533-position model. The record is from RNAcentral.